Molecule: long non-coding RNA, 6924 nt
Filed under: Capsicum annuum
Lineage: Eukaryota; Viridiplantae; Streptophyta; Magnoliopsida; Solanales; Solanaceae
Description: long non-coding RNA (CANN_LNC004482)
Source: RNAcentral
UAACUGGAAUCAGUGUUUGUUCACGGGUUCAUCUAGUUCUUUUGCUACCACGUGAACCAUUUUCUUUUCUUUUUCUUAUUUCUGUUGCACCUUAAUCUAUCGUCUCACCCAACCAACCCUACCUCCCACAACCAAGUGGCGGGAGCGGAGCCAGCCACAGCCAAAUAGCAGGAGGGCCAGCUUUUGUAUACUUCUACUAAAUCCACGACAUACCUAUCACCUCCAUCAAGGCUAAAAUAGAUGAGAAGAAUUACAGUGUUUGGACAAGAUUAGGACAUAUGAGAAGAAUCACCUAGUGUUUUAUGUCAGUGUUGGAAUUCGAGUCCAAAACCUCAGAUUCUCAACUCACUUCAUUGACCACUAGGUCACACCCUUAGGUACGAUCUAUUUUGAAUCUCCUUUAAUGACAAAUUACACUGUUUAUGUAUGAGUAGAAUUAUUUCUUAAGUCCAUAGUAGAUAAUGAAUAUCCUUUAACUUCUUUGUGACUUUACUUCAUAUUUUGAAUCCCCUUCGUAAAAAUUUUGACAUCACUGCCAAGUGACCUAAUGAGUUAAACCUUCUAUAUACUAACACUAUCAUAUUAUCUAAUCAAAAGAAGUAUAUUAGUUACCUGUUAUAUUGUUUACAUGCACUAAUGUCUAAUAAUGUUAAUAAUUAAAAGGAAAAUCACUCCACCGAUCUUUCAUAUAAAAGCAUUUUGACCAGCCAUUUUAAGUUUUGAACCAAAACAAGGGCAAAAAAGUUGGUCAAGCUCUAUUCUCCGUAUAUGAGAGAGAUAUAUAGAGGCCAUCAUACGAUCCUUUCUAUAGUCGGUUAUUGAACGAAUAGUUCACGUGACUACAAAUUCCAAGCAAUUACUGCAAGGUCAUAUUUUUGAUUAUCCACAUCUGGUCAUCGUAUCUAAAAGAAUACGUGUAAGAAUGCUUGAAGGGGGCAAAGUACAGUUUAUUCCAAAAAAGAAGGGUCGCCUCUGUUAACCACACUCUCUUCUUGACUCAAAACAUUUUAUUUGUAUUAAUAUGUACGUAACUUACUCCAAAUCCAAUAAACAUAAAGUAUUUAAAACCUAAGAAAAUGAUAAUUCUAUACAUUAAAACUUUUGCUAUUCGCUAUGCAGAGAUUGAAAAAGAAUCAACAAUAAGGAUUUGUUGUAUACAACUUUACCUUACAAAUGUUGUUUCUACGGCUUGAACUCGAACUAAAAAUUCUAACUUUACCUCGGGUAGCUAUCGCCUGUGUACAUCAAUUUCAAUCGCGUGAAGACCUUUACUCCAGAUUUCGGUUAGCUAUCCAUGUCAUGGUGAAGGUACCUCUGAUCCUAAUCCUUGGCUCUUUUCUGCAAUCUAUGCUAGCCCAGAUUUCCACGUUAGAACCACCCUUUGGGAGAAUCUCAUUCAAAUCUCCCAAGCCUAUAAGGGUAAUUGGCUCAUUAGAGGUGACUUUAAUGAAGUCCUCCAAGCUAGAGACAAAAUAGGGGGUAACCAGGUCAACCAUACAAGAUCUUUUCUCUUUAGAGACUGCAUAAAUCAAUGCAGUUUGAUAGACCUAGGUUUUAAGGGUUGUAGGUACACAUGGACCAACAAGAGGUAUAGAAACAGGAACCAGUUGAUUUUUGAACGACUGGAUAGGUUCCUAGCCAAUGACUCUUGGAUUAAGGAUUACCUUGAGGCUACUGUAACCCACCUCCUUAGGACUAAGUCUGAUCAUUGUCCUCUUAAGGUCCAGCUCAGACACACUAUCCACACUAAUCCUAGACCCUUUAAGCUUGAACCUAUAUGAUGUAGGCACCCCUCCUUUACUAACUUGGUUCACCAAUGCUUUGAUCCCCCUAACUCGCUCCUAAAUGCUCUUCAUGUCUUCCAAAGGGAGGCUGCUGUUUGGAAUAAAAUCACUUUUGAAAACAUCUUUCAUAAAAUUAAAAGGAUCAUGGCCAAGAUGGAUAGUAUCCAAAAAUCCAAUGCAUACCACUCAACCCCUUUCCUCCAUUAUAUAGAAUCUCAGCUUCUCCUGGAUUACAAUAAUCUUCUUAAACUUGAGGAAGAGUUCUGACGAACCAAAUCUAGAAUAAAUGGGGUUAGUGAAGGGGAUGCCAACACAAAGUUUUUCCACACUUCUACCAUCAAUAGAAGAAGGAACAACAGAAUUACUAGCCUGAAAGAUGACAUGGGGAACUGUCUUACUGAUCCUAAAGCUAUUGAAUCUCAUAUCAUUUCUUUCUACUCUAAAAUUUACACCACUGGCCAUGACAGCUCCCCAGCCUACCAAACUACUAAGCACCUUACUACCCCAAUUCUCACUGAGUCUCAGAGCAAUACCCUUUCCUCAAACCUCAGAGACACUGAAAUUAUCCAAGCCCUCAAAACCUUCAAACCCAUGAAGACACCUAGACCUGAUGGUGUCCACCCUCUUCUCUACCAAAGAUAUUGGAACAUAGUGGGGGGGAAAGCUACUAAGUUCUGUCAGGAAGUCUUUAGGACUGUGAUCAUGCCUCCUCAAGCAAACACUACUCUUCUUUGCUUGAUUCCUAAGUCUAAAAAUGCUGAUCAAGCGAAGGAUUUCAAACCCAUUGCUUUAUGCAACACUAUCUACAAGCUGAUCACUAAGAUCAUAGUCAAUAGGCUAAAACUUUUCCUCAAUCACCUCAUUGCCCCAACUCAAGCCAGCUUUAUUCCUAAUAGGAGAACUGCUGACAACUCCAUAAUUGUCUAAGAAUAUAUCUCCCACUUCAACAAAAUAAAAGGGAAAACCCCUACCAUGAUCUUAAAGAUUGAUCUAGAGAAGGCUUUUGAUAGAAUUGAAUGUUCUUACAUCAAGGAUACCCUCCACUACUUCAACUUCCCUCUAAACCUUUCUAGGUUAAUCAUGUCCUGUGUCACUGGGUCCUCUAUGUCCAUUCUCAUCAAUGGAGGGAAAUCUGAUCCUUUCUUACCAACAAGGGGUAUAAGACAAGGAAAUCCAAUCUCUCCUUACCUUUUUGUCCUUUGUAUGGAAAAAUUGUCAAGAAAUAUUGAUUUGACUGUUUCCUCUAAACUUUGGCACCCCAUCAAAAUAACUAACAGGGUACCUGCUAUCUCACACCUCUUCUUUACAGAUGACUUAACUCUCUUCUCAAGAGCCACCAAAGAAGAUUGUCAUGCUAUUCAAAACACUCUCACUUUCUUCACUAAAUUAUCUGAUCAGAGGAUCAACCAUGCUAAAUCUAGAGUAAUCUUCUCCAAGAAUUGCUCUACUGAGAGGGCCCAAGAAUGUUGUAACACCCUUAACAUUCAACCCAUCCCCUCUUUUGGUAAAUACCUAGGGUACCCUAUCUUUCACAAAAGACCUCACUCUGAGGACUUUUAAUUUUUACUUGACAACAUGAGGAACAAGCUGAGUGGGUGGAAGACUAAGUACCCGAACCAGGCUGGAAGAACUACCCUGCCUAAAUCUACCCUCUCCAGUAUCCCCUACCAUAUCAUGUAAUGCAUUAAAUUGCCUAAAAAAACCAUAGAUUCUAUAAAUAGGAUCAUCAGGAACUUUGUUUGGGGCACUACAGCUAAUAAGAAGAGGCUGCAACUUGUGGGAUGGGAUACCAUAACCAAGUCCAAAACUGAAGGUGGGUUGGGUAUCCAAAGAAGCGAGAUAAAAAAAUAAUGCUCUCCUUGAUGGCCUUGGUUGGAGACUCCACAAUAACCCUCACACUCUUUGGGGUAGAAUCCUUACAAAUAAGUAUAAAAGUUCUACCAGAAAUAACAUGGGAGCCACAGUAGUCUCUAGAACCUGAAAAUGCAUAACUACUGGAUGGGCUAAUAUCAUAGAGGGGCACAAAUAGAUCCCUAAAAAGGAAACCAACAUCAAGUUCUUUGGGGACGGCUAGAUUCCCCACCAAUCCCCUAUAAGAACUAUGAUUCAAAGCCCUCUUCAAAGAGAGGAGGAACAUCUUACAAUAGCUAACAUCCACUCUAAUGGAAUUUGGUAUCUCAAGGAAUUAUCUUUUGAUCUCCCUAUGGAGAUCAGGACAAAGAUCUAAAGCACUUUGAUCCCCUAAAACAGCAAUCAAGAGGAUAAGCUUGUUUUGGGUCUAUCAACUGAUGGUAGAUUCUCCACCUUCACUACCUACUUUCUCCUCAGUAAAAACAACCAGCACAAUAGUGACACUACUGGAGGUUUCAAUGAUAUCUAGCAAGAUAAAUGCCCCAAUAAGCUUAAAUUCUUCUUUUGGAUCAUGUCCCACCUCAAGCUCCCUACCAGUCAACACCUGCAUGGAAUUGGUCUUAACUUAAGCCCUCUUUGCCACUUCUGUGGAACUCAUGAAGAGAGUAGUGACCACAUCUUCUUUCAUUGCAAAAAUGCUCAACUACUUUAGGAAGGAAUAACUGCUCAAAGCAUUUUUAAUCUUGCUAUAUCUCUUUCAUUCAUUGGUUCCCAUAACUGGAAAGGGAUUUGGAAAUCCCUCAAGGCCAAGUCAUUCAACAACUGGUUGAAUUAGGAUAAUAUCAUCCCUUUUUGUCUUUGGGGAAUCUGGCUAACUAGGAACAACAACCUUUUCAAUGACAAAAAGAACAACAUUCAGAGGGGGGAUAUUAUCCACUACAAAAAAUAGUUCAAAUUGCGGGGGGUGGGGGGUGGGGGGGAUUUGCGUGGGUUAUUUUAACCCCCGUAAAAUUAUAUGAAAUACAGGGGGUUAAAAAGUUGCCGCUAAAAUUUAUAAAUUUGCGGGAGUUUAAACCCCCGCUAUAAAUUACAGGGGUUUUAAACCUCCUCUAUCAAUAGAAAAAAUAGCCUAUACCAUUAAAAAAAUUUCCCUUGUUUAUUUUUUCAUUGGCCAAAAUUUUCCCUCAUUUUUUAAUUCACCUUCCAUUCCCCCAAAAUCUCCCUCUCUCUCACAUUUCCCCCAAAUCAGCUUUCACUGUGUUAACGCAAAAAAAAAAUUAACUCAAGGUCAAUUGAUAUGCCGGCCAAUCUACUCCGGUCAUUUUCCCUCAAAAUUGACUCCGCCGGCCGACCAUUGGAAUUGCGCUGGAGUCCAAAGUUGUAAGAAUCACUUGUUGUGUUGUUGUUGUUCUUAUAAUAUUAUUGUUCAUCUUUUGUUCAUUAUCUUCUUGUUGUUAAUAUAGUUUGAGUGGUUGAUUUGGUGUUCAAAACACCUUGUGGAUGCAUCACAGUGAUAAAAUUAGUCUUGAGUUUAGAUGCAUUAUGCUUUUAGAUCUACAAAUUAACUUGCAUUUCUUUAACAUGGAACCGAAAUACUAGAGAAUAAUAGCUAAAUAGAGUAGAAAUUAGGCAUUUCAAGUACAUUUUAUAAAAUGGUGGUUCCUGAGUUGAAGUAACAAGCUUAAUUAGAGUGAGAAAUGAUGAAAUACCCAUAGAUUUACUGUGUGACUUGCAUUUCUCUGAAAAAGAGCAAAAAUGGAGUAGAAAUUGAGCAUUUCAAGUACAUUUAGUAAAGAAGAACUGACAAGCUUAAUUAAAGCGAGAAAUGGUGAAACAAUCAUUGAUUUACUAAGUAACUUGCAUUUUUCUGAAAAAUGGAACAAAAAUUCUAGAAAAACGGAUAAAAAAGAGUAGAAUUGGAGCAUUUCAAGCACAUUAAAUACAGAAGAAUAAGGAGAAAACCCCCCAAUUUUAGGAAAAAUAGACCAAAAAUUGAGUAGAACUGGAGCAUUUCAGGUACAUUGUUUAUAGAAAAAGACGGAGAAACAAAAAACACCAAGAAAAAUGGUAGUUAUGAGUUGAAAAUAGAAGGUUACAAUUUACAAGGGAAAUGGUAACAUACCCAUAGUACCAGAGGCAUCACUGCCACCAUAGAAAGUAGCAUGAGCACUCUGCCAUGCUCCACUAGUAUAAAAACCUGGAAUUCUUCCUGUUAUUGUUGGCCAUGUUGUGUAGUUGUUGGGGUCACAUUUUGUGCUUGAGUUGUGGACUGUUUUAGAACUGUUUUGGUGCAUUCCAAAUUUGUAUUCAUGUAUCUAAAAAUAUUUUUGUAUUUGCUAAGAAGAUGAAACUCUUCCGUACUUUCUCAAAGUUUGCUGAUGAUUUCAGCCGAGCGAGCUUUAUCUCUUUGUGUAGCUGUUAGAUCUACCAACAAAUCAUGUUGUCGUGAUUAAGAUAUUACUGUACAUUGUAUUUCAAAUUUCCUUUUAUCUUGUCGCAGACGUAUGAGGAGUAUCUUGAAGCUCAUAGCAAAGGCAAAAAAAGAUCGAAUUAGUCUGUUAGUACUCUUUUGACAUUUUUCUUGUUAUAUAUUCCUUUAUUAUAGAUAAACCCAUGAAUCAUUUUAUUUUGGGUUGGAUUUCGCAACAAUUGUAAAGUGUGUCUCUGUUUCGAAAAAUUCUAUUCUAGCUUUCUUUUUGUAUUGAGAAAAGUAUUUAGCUUUCAUUUUUCUUCUCUAGCAUAAUUAAGUGGUUCCAUUUAUAUAUUUACGCCCAUAUUUUGUGAGUGCCCUCAUUUGAUAUAUGUAUUCAUCAGUUGAACCUCCAUAUGUAUGAAUCAAAAGCGCCUAAGCACUUCAAUCUAAUAGUAUUUAUGGAUAAGGUGCCGGAUGGGAUCCCACCGGAUCAAUGAAUUUCUUUUAUUGAAUACAAUUUUAAAGAAUCAACAAAGGUAUUUAUGUAUAUGAAUUUCUUUAUAGUUGUAUAAUUAUUUUUUUCUAAUUGAGGUAUAAGUAUAUUUUUAUAAGAAAAUGCGUCAAAGGAACCGUGAAAAUCAAAAGAAACAGACAAUUCCACACACCGGUGGCUCCAAAGUCAAUGCUACAAGAAGGGCUGAAAUUGUGAGUGAAUUAACCUCGAAUAUAUUAUUCUUAAAUAGUAAAUUAUUGAUUAUGUUUUUUAAUUUAUAGAUGGCCGAGACUUGACAAUGGCCCGGACAAGCACAAAUGUAGAUUGCUACUCAUAUGAAUCAAGAUGGAGUAUAUGUUAAUGAAGCGGUAAAAGAAAUAUGU